GUCUGUAAGUGGAACAUGGUAGAAAUGUUCUUCUCCAGGUGUGUUAGGUCCCACAAUGAGGAAGGUAGGUUCUGGUUUUGGAAGCUGACUGGAGCAGGGAUGUGAUUUCCCCAUCUUUUUUAAUGACACCGAGCUUUUAAUGAAUUAAGGCUGGGUUUCUGUGUGCUCAGCUUAUAUCUCACUUAUAAGUGGUAGUUGGUAAUAACCUUAUAUAUUCAGUUUUAAUGAUAACUUAACAAAACAAGGAAGCCCACAGCGGCGUUGCGUGGUUAUCGCUCAUUGUGCGCUCCCGCGAAAUGGCUGCCUGCGCUGUCCUCGCGCCCUUCUCGCGCCAAACGGGCAGUUCAACGGUCGCCAUUUACACUCAAAAGUUAGACAGUCUGCAGUAGCCAUCGACGAGGAUCAUCUUGAGUGAAGACCUCCCACUUAAAAGUCAGACAUGAUGAGGAGACAGGGGACCAUCCAUAGAUUGGAGAAGAUUCUGAACAAAAGAUGUCAUCAUCUUCUGCUCCAUACCCAUCAGAUGAGGGUAAUGAAGAGGGUAACAUUGCUGUCCAACUUUUAAAAUUCAAAACCAGACUGCUUGAAGCAGUGGCAGAACUACAUAUCCACAGGGAUGCAGAGAUACGAUGUGAGGAGCAGAUCAAUAAACUUGUGUUGGAAAAACAAGAAUUAGAAUGGCAGAAGGUAUUUAUUAUGAUGACACAUUAUUAACAGCCAUAUUCUGUUUUUAAUGUAAAAAUGCUGAUGGGUAGAAAGAAGGAAGCACAUAGGUACACCUAUCUGAAACAAUAAAUUCUGAGGAAGAUAGUUGUAUAUGGCA
This 823-nucleotide long non-coding RNA is filed under the name Scleropages formosus (Asian bonytongue). RNAcentral describes it as "lncRNA (ENSSFOG00015025242.1)". The record is from RNAcentral. Lineage: Eukaryota; Metazoa; Chordata; Actinopteri; Osteoglossiformes; Osteoglossidae.